GGACUAUUAGUUCAGUGGUAGAACAUUCGCCUCAUAAGCGAUAUGUCGUAGGUUCGAUCCCUACAUGGUCCA
Molecule: non-coding RNA, 72 nt
Organism: Clostridiales bacterium 41_21_two_genomes
Lineage: Bacteria; Bacillati; Bacillota; Clostridia; Eubacteriales
Source: Rfam